AACGAACGCUGGCGGCAGGCUUAACACAUGCAAGUCGAGCGCCCCGCAAGGGGAGCGGCAGACGGGUGAGUAACGCGUGGGAACGUACCUUUUGGUUCGGAACAACUCCGGGAAACUGGAGCUAAUACCGGAUAAGCCCUAACGGGGAAAGAUUUAUCGCCGAAAGAUCGGCCCGCGUCUGAUUAGCUAGUUGGUGAGGUAACGGCUCACCAAGGCGACGAUCAGUAGCUGGUCUGAGAGGAUGAUCAGCCACACUGGGACUGAGACACGGCCCAGACUCCUACGGGAGGCAGCAGUGGGGAAUAUUGGACAAUGGGCGCAAGCCUGAUCCAGCCACGCCGCGUGAGUGAUGAAGGCCUUAGGGUUGUAAAGCUCUUUUGUCCGGGAAGAUAAUGACUGUACCGGAAGAAUAAGCCCCGGCUAACUUCGUG
RNAcentral lists this ribosomal RNA (431 nucleotides) under uncultured bacterium. Its description in RNAcentral is "partial 16S ribosomal RNA". It matches the Rfam family "Bacterial small subunit ribosomal RNA", at positions 29 to 507 of the family's 1533-position model. The record is from RNAcentral.